CAGCACUUGAUACACCAUGCUCUGCAGCCUAGCCUGUGUCAAAGGCUUGUGCUGUGUGGUGGUAGCUGCGUUGGAGAAGCAUAGUAUGAAAACAAAAGCCACGAGUCUUUAAGCCCAGUGUGUCAAGACACACACUGACGUAUAACUCAGUGGCACAACU
Molecule: non-coding RNA, 160 nt
Organism: Molossus molossus (Pallas's mastiff bat)
Lineage: Eukaryota; Metazoa; Chordata; Mammalia; Chiroptera; Molossidae
Product: small Cajal body-specific RNA 1
Exons: 1
Source: RefSeq, a predicted model, not a curated record